Molecule: non-coding RNA, 111 nt
Organism: Acanthosepion pharaonis
Lineage: Eukaryota; Metazoa; Mollusca; Cephalopoda; Sepiida; Sepiidae
Source: the annotation of a GenBank genome assembly
CUACAGUCAAAUCAGGCCGAAAACAUUGUUUCUCAUUCGAUCAAUGAAGUUAAGCAGUAUCGAGUCCAGUAAGUACUUAGAUGGGUAACUGCUUGGGAACACUGGAUAAUG